This 866-nucleotide ribosomal RNA is filed under the name Fusarium clavum. RNAcentral's name for it is "partial large subunit ribosomal RNA". It matches the Rfam family "Eukaryotic large subunit ribosomal RNA", at positions 42 to 938 of the family's 3401-position model. Lineage: Eukaryota; Fungi; Ascomycota; Sordariomycetes; Hypocreales; Nectriaceae. The record is from RNAcentral.
AUCAAUAAGCGGAGGAAAAGAAACCAACAGGGAUUGCCCUAGUAACGGCGAGUGAAGCGGCAACAGCUCAAAUUUGAAAUCUGGCUCUCGGGCCCGAGUUGUAAUUUGUAGAGGAUGCUUUUGAUGCGGUGCCUUCCGAGUUCCCUGGAACGGGACGCCAUAGAGGGUGAGAGCCCCGUCUGGUUGGAUGCCAAAUCUCUGUAAAGCUCCUUCGACGAGUCGAGUAGUUUGGGAAUGCUGCUCUAAAUGGGAGGUAUAUGUCUUCUAAAGCUAAAUACCGGCCAGAGACCGAUAGCGCACAAGUAGAGUGAUCGAAAGAUGAAAAGCACUUUGAAAAGAGAGUUAAAAAGUACGUGAAAUUGUUGAAAGGGAAGCGUUUAUGACCAGACUUGGGCUUGGUUAAUCAUCUGGGGUUCUCCCCAGUGCACUUUUCCAGUCCAGGCCAGCAUCAGUUUUCGCCGGGGGAUAAAGGCUUCGGGAAUGUGGCUCUCUCCGGGGAGUGUUAUAGCCCGUUGCGUAAUACCCUGGCGGGGACUGAGGUUCGCGCAUCUGCAAGGAUGCUGGCGUAAUGGUCAUCAACGACCCGUCUUGAAACACGGACCAAGGAGUCGUCUUCGUAUGCGAGUGUUCGGGUGUCAAACCCCUACGCGUAAUGAAAGUGAACGCAGGUGAGAGCUUCGGCGCAUCAUCGACCGAUCCUGAUGUUCUCGGAUGGAUUUGAGUAAGAGCAUACGGGGCCGGACCCGAAAGAAGGUGAACUAUGCCUGUGUAGGGUGAAGCCAGAGGAAACUCUGGUGGAGGCUCGCAGCGGUUCUGACGUGCAAAUCGAUCGUCAAACAUGGGCAUGGGGGCGAAAGACUAAUCGA